AAAAGCUUCAAUUUUGUUUGUGAAUCUGCUAUUUUUUUGUCCUUUGAAUUGUUAACAUUUUGUUUAUAUAAAGCUUGUGUGUGUUGUCUAAUCUGAUAGAAAUUUUUGUGAUCAAUGGUGUUCUUUUGUUUGAGUAAUGAAGUAAACGGGGUGUGUCGGUGGGGUCAAUGGUCUUAAUUUUUGACGAUCCUGGAAUUUUCACUUUUGUGAUAGAAUAUUGUUUACUCUUGUGGUUGAAAUCAGUCGUAGGUGGGUGGGAAUUUGUUUCAUUGCCUUUUUUCUGCAAUAUAUACCAUGAGUCAAUUGUAUGAAAUGAGUGUUUUUAAUUAGUGGAUGAAUAGAUUCAAUUUUUGAGAA
Molecule: unclassified non-coding RNA, 357 nt
Filed under: Hevea brasiliensis (rubber tree)
Lineage: Eukaryota; Viridiplantae; Streptophyta; Magnoliopsida; Malpighiales; Euphorbiaceae
Source: RNAcentral